Vicia faba (fava bean) is the source of this 264-nucleotide non-coding RNA. NCBI's taxonomy places the organism in Eukaryota, Viridiplantae, Streptophyta, Magnoliopsida, Fabales, Fabaceae. The record is from the annotation of a GenBank genome assembly.
AUGCAUGAUGCUCCGUAUGUCCUGGAAAGUUUAAUUAAAAAUUGGGACGAGGAACAUUCUGCCGAGAAAGCAUUAGGAGCUGCACUGGCUGCUGGUCUUGCUGACUUUCACCAGGAUGUUCAUGAUAGAGCCUUGUUUUAUUACAGGCUUCUACAAUGCAACGUAUCAGUGGCAGAGAGUGUGGUGAACCCUCCCAAACAAGUACAAGCGCAACUGGUCAAGCUCCAGCAUCUAUCAUGGCAAUUGAUGAUUUGUUUGGUUUAG